Molecule: long non-coding RNA, 373 nt
Organism: Saccostrea echinata
Lineage: Eukaryota; Metazoa; Mollusca; Bivalvia; Ostreida; Ostreidae
Exons: 2
Source: RefSeq, a predicted model, not a curated record
AUAAUAUGUAUGCUUUUUUAGAUCUCGUAACCAGCCUCUAUAACCAGGCAGAGCGCAUGCGUGAAAUAAAUUUCCAUCGAGAUCGGAAAACAGCAGAGAGGAAAUUCGGAAUAUAUAAUGGAAACUAGUAAUGCGGAAUGAUACUAUAGUCAGAUGCAGAAAUUUUUGCAUAAUUCGAUCAACUUUUAUUUAAAAAAGCAGAAGAAUAAAUGAAUCAACUUUACAUGUAAGCCUGUCAAGGAGGAAGCAAAGGAUAUAGAAACUUAUAACAAUGGACAAAGAUUUAUAAUUGUGUGAAACUAUCUUUACAUUGUAAAUGCCAAUGUAUCCUGAUUCCUCUAUUGCAUAAAUCGAGAGAAAUCUAAAAAUUCCA